This 492-nucleotide ribosomal RNA is filed under the name uncultured bacterium. RNAcentral describes it as "partial 16S ribosomal RNA". It matches the Rfam family "Bacterial small subunit ribosomal RNA", at positions 29 to 507 of the family's 1533-position model. The record is from RNAcentral.
AGUGAACGCUGGCGGUAGGCUUAACACAUGCAAGUCGAACGGCAGCACAGUAAGAGCUUGCUCUUACGGGUGGCGAGUGGCGGACGGGUGAGGAAUACAUCGGAAUCUACUUUUUCGUGGGGGAUAACGUAGGGAAACUUACGCUAAUACCGCAUACGACCUACGGGUGAAAGCAGGGGAUCUUCGGAUCUUGCGCGAUUGAAUGAGCCGAUGUCGGAUUAGCUAGUUGGCGGGGUAAAGGCCCACCAAGGCGACGAUCCGUAGCUGGUCUGAGAGGAUGAUCAGCCACACUGGAACUGAGACACGGUCCAGACUCCUACGGGAGGCAGCAGUGGGGAAUAUUGGACAAUGGGCGCAAGCCUGAUCCAGCCAUACCGCGUGGGUGAAGAAGGCCUUCGGGUUGUAAAGCCCUUUUGUUGGGAAAGAAAGGCAGCAGGUUAAUACCCCGCUGUUCUGACGGUACCCAAAGAAUAAGCACCGGCUAACUUCGUG